CUGUGGUACAAUUCGUCCUAGAAAAGGAAUCUGAAUUGAGAGGGGAUUUGGUGUGAAGCAGGGGAAGGUGUCGGGGUGCAUAGAUCUGUUCAUUAGGGCAGAUUAAAGUCAAGCCUCCCCUGAAAUUGGUGGAAAGGCUUGCAGCCCUCUGUGGUUUGGAAGAUUAUGCAGCUAUCACAAUGCACUUCAUGAGUAGGCUGUGGGGGCUGGAUUUAAUUUUAUGUCCUCCGGGAGAUUCUGGCAGUGUGUUUCUGUGGUGCGGAAUCAUUAUUUACAAUGAAACACUUACACGGAAGUAGUAAAGUUAAUGGAGGUUUCAGUGGAAUUAGCCUUGUUAAGUUCCCCAGUGACAGAGCCGGCUCCCCUCUCCAGUAACUGGAUCCAGCAAGGAGGUAGCACGCAGAGCUAGUGGAGUUUGGGAUGUGGAUGAAAUUGGGAGUGGCCCAAAGCAGCAAGCCCCAGGCCUUCAGUACUGGCCUGCAGCUGGGCUCUGUGAUGGGGCUGCCUCUCUGGCCAACAGCCCCUGCAUGGCCAUGCUGUGUGUUCCCAGUCCUGGCAGCUCCUUGCGGAGUAAAUGCUGUUAAUCCACAGCCCGUUGUUGACUCUUGCUGCUGCUGUCAGAAUUUCUGGGACCUGGAGCAUGCCGAGGGCUGUGAGAAGGUCAGAUGUGAUUCACCCCCGUGCUCACGUUCCCUAAAGUGUGACAGGACUGCACCACGUGGAAGGAGAGUCAUUCAGGAUGUCAUCUUCCUGGUACAGAUGGGAAGAAGGCCAGAUCUGGCUCCUCAUUCCUGAAAACAAACAGCCUUGACCCCAAUGUUGAUAGCAGUUCCUUGCCUCCAACUCCCAGCCUGUCCCUUCGAUGGGCCAGGUAGUUUUCCAUGGCGAUGCAGACCAGGUAUGGGAAUAUCCAAUUCACUUUACUUUUCAAUACUUUCAAUCCAGGAAACACUUACUGAAUGUUGGCUCUGUAAAAUCACCAUGGAAACCCAAGUGGAAUCUUUAAAAUACUCUAAGGAAAUUGUUCCGAGUUCCCACAUCCCACCGACACUUCAGUGAGCAGGAAGGGUGCAUCUUAGUCCAGUGCAUGCCUGCUUGCAUUCAACCUGAAUGGCAGAAAGGGGGAAACAGAUGGAGGAAAAUGUGUAAAGCUGAUGAUACGGCUUUUUGUCCUGGGUGGUGUAAUAUUAUGCUUCCAAGGAAGAAGGGUGAGCAGCCAGAGCUUUAAUUUCCACUGGAGCAAAGAGAUGAGUUUAGUCACAGCUGCCUCUGCUCAAUGGUAUCAUCGCCCACACACUCUAUACCAGGGCAGGACCUACAAAGCAAUGUCGUGGUGCCUAGUGACAGCCUUGUCUGCAGCACCAUGCGGCACAGCGGGGGCUGUGGGCUACAGAAUCACAGAUCCUGGAUUACAAGGGGCCCUUAUCACGCAGCAGGAGCUGGGCUCAUACCUGACACAAGGACUAGAAACCAUAGAAUCAUGGUCCUGACUGGGGUCUUAGAGGAAUGGGUAGAUUCCAUGUGGCUUGUUUUAAAGAAAGACAGAAGUUUCAACUGUGCUUAGAGAAGUUCCAACUUAGAAAAGGGGAAGAUGUGGCUUUGGCAUUUAAGUUCAUUAGGAUGGUUAUAUAUCUUUGGGUUCCAGGUGACUCCCCUUCCUCCUCCCAAUCAAACUAGCUUUAAAGCAUGAAGGAAAUGUGCUGGUUCAGUGAAUUAAAAAGUCCA
Long non-coding RNA from Macaca nemestrina (pig-tailed macaque), 1725 nucleotides. The record is from Ensembl. Lineage: Eukaryota; Metazoa; Chordata; Mammalia; Primates; Cercopithecidae.